This is a long non-coding RNA of Ostrinia nubilalis (European corn borer), 441 nucleotides long. RefSeq lists it as uncharacterized. The transcript has 3 exons. NCBI's taxonomy places the organism in Eukaryota, Metazoa, Arthropoda, Insecta, Lepidoptera, Crambidae. The record is from RefSeq and is a predicted model, not a curated record.
GAAUCUUUUCGCUGGGAUAUAUACCGUGGCGACACGAGCAGAUGCAUCAGUACCACAGUGAAUCCUAGAGGGUCUUCAUUUGUAUUAAGCAAACUGCCAUUGACAAAAUGAUGCUAAAAACGUUGGCAGUUCUAUUCUUCGUGGCUGUGUGCGCUGCUAUACCAGUGGAUGACAUCCAGCUUUCCGAAGACGAGCUCGCUCCAGCCGUAGAUCCCCAGACGAAUGUUCUGGAUGACCAAGCAGACUUGAAGACUGACGCAACCUUCUGGCGCUUUGGAGCCUUCAGAUACCCACAUGUGCGACGACAAUACUAUGUACCAAGAGUUUACUCCUACUACAGACCUGUCUACACACCAUACUGGGGCGCCCACUGGUAAACGAUUGGAAACAAAAUUACUGAUUAGAUUAAUUAAAUAAAUUAUAAAUUGAAAACAUAAAGAA